GAGCAGGUCUGUCCGAGCGUCUGCCUGCCAAACAAGUUGUCGUACGUGACGACAAGAGUGAGGAGCUGCGAUUGCGGGUCAUUCUGCACUCCUUUAAAAUGUGUGGCCGUACGAUGUGACAAGACGGCGGAAAGACAGUCGUCACCGUAACAAGUUGUUUCGCCCGUGGCUUGUCCGUGAUGACCAUCUAGACCUCGGAUCAGG
Molecule: unclassified non-coding RNA, 204 nt
Filed under: Cacospongia mollior
Lineage: Eukaryota; Metazoa; Porifera; Demospongiae; Dictyoceratida; Thorectidae
Description: sequence contains 5.8S rRNA gene, ITS2, 28S rRNA gene
Source: RNAcentral